AGCCUCAACUCAUGUGAGAC
This 20-nucleotide ribosomal RNA is filed under the name Simulium vittatum. RNAcentral describes it as "partial 28S ribosomal RNA". Lineage: Eukaryota; Metazoa; Arthropoda; Insecta; Diptera; Simuliidae. The record is from RNAcentral.